UAGGGAAUCUUCCACAAUGGACGCAAGUCUGAUGGAGCAACGCCGCGUGAGUGAAGAAGGCUUUCGGGUCGUAAAACUCUGUUAUUGAAGAAGAACGUGCGUGACAGUAACUGGUCAUGCAGUGACGGUAUUCAAUCAGAAAGUCACGGCUAACUACGUGCCAGCAGCCGCGGUAAUACGUAGGUGGCAAGCGUUGUCCGGAUUUAUUGGGCGUAAAGCGAGUGCAGGCGGUCUUUUAAGUCUGAUGUGAAAGCCUUCGGCUUAACCGAAGAAGGGCAUCGGAAACUGGGAGACUUGAGUGCAGAAGAGGAGAGUGGAACUCCAUGUGUAGCGGUGAAAUGCGUAGAUAUAUGGAAGAACACCAGUGGCGAAGGCGGCUCUCUGGUCUGUAACCGACGCUGAGGCUCGAAAGCGUGGGUAGCAAACAGGA
Molecule: ribosomal RNA, 430 nt
Filed under: uncultured bacterium
Lineage: Bacteria
Description: partial 16S ribosomal RNA
Rfam family: Bacterial small subunit ribosomal RNA
Source: RNAcentral